GGAGGGAUGACCGAGUGGCUAAGGAGCACGCCUGGAAAGCGUGUAGGACUUAACAGUCUCGCGGGUUCAAGUCCCGUUCCCUCCUCCA
RNAcentral lists this transfer RNA (88 nucleotides) under Tissierellia bacterium. RNAcentral's name for it is "tRNA-Ser". It matches the Rfam family "tRNA". Rfam says of the family: Transfer RNA (tRNA) molecules are approximately 80 nucleotides in length. Their secondary structure includes four short double-helical elements and three loops (D, anti-codon, and T loops). Further hydrogen bonds mediate the characteristic L-shaped molecular structure. tRNAs have two regions of fundamental functional importance: the anti-codon, which is responsible for specific mRNA codon recognition, and the 3' end, to which the tRNAs corresponding amino acid is attached (by aminoacyl-tRNA synthetases). tRNAs cope with the degeneracy of the genetic code in two manners: having more than one tRNA (with a specific anti-codon) for a particular amino acid; and 'wobble' base-pairing, i.e. permitting non-standard base-pairing at the 3rd anti-codon position. Lineage: Bacteria; Bacillati; Bacillota; Tissierellia. The record is from RNAcentral.